GACGAACGCUGGCGGCGUGCUUAACACAUGCAAGUCGAACGGAAAGGCCCUGCUUUUGUGGGGUGCUCGAGUGGCGAACGGGUGAGUAACACGUGAGUAACCUGCCUUUGAUUUUGGGAUAACUUUAGGAAACUGGGGCUAAUACCGGAUAGGAGCUCCUGCCGCAUGGUGGGGGUUGGAAAGUUUCGGCGGUUGGGGAUGGUCUCGCGGCUUAUCAGCUUGUUGGUGGGGUAGUGGCUUACCAAGGCUUUGACGGGCAGCCGGCCUGAGAGGGUGACCGGCCACAUUGGGACUGAGAUACGGCCCAGACUCCUACGGGAGGCAGCAGUGGGGAAUAGUGCACAAUGGGCGGAAGCCUGAUGCAGCAACGCCGCGUGCGGGAUGACGGCCUUCGGGUUGUAAACCGCUUUCGCCUGUGACGAAGCGUGAGUGACGGUAAUGGGUAAAGAAGCACCGGCUAACUACGUG
This 468-nucleotide ribosomal RNA is filed under the name uncultured bacterium. RNAcentral's name for it is "partial 16S ribosomal RNA". It matches the Rfam family "Bacterial small subunit ribosomal RNA", at positions 28 to 507 of the family's 1533-position model. The record is from RNAcentral.